GUAGUGGUGGUUCAGUGGUAGAAUUCUCCCCUUUUAUGUGGGAGACCUGGGUUCAAUUCCCAGCCAAUGCA
This 71-nucleotide transfer RNA is filed under the name Loxodonta africana (African savanna elephant). It matches the Rfam family "tRNA". From Rfam's summary of the family: Transfer RNA (tRNA) molecules are approximately 80 nucleotides in length. Lineage: Eukaryota; Metazoa; Chordata; Mammalia; Proboscidea; Elephantidae. The record is from Rfam by way of RNAcentral.